CCACGCAGACUCAGUCUCCUCCCUAUAAUAAAUUAUCAACAUUUCACCAGUUUAACUUGAAGAAAAGGACCAUCAUCACAAACUUUGACUAUCCAAAAGUUGUUGCACAAGAAUUAUACUUAUCAGUUACAAAAAUUAGAACCUUUUAAGUAAAGAAAAGAUCCAAAUUAGUUUGACAUACAACAUAGCCAGUGGGGUCUAGAGAGGUUAGAGUAGACACAAACCUUACCCCU
RNAcentral lists this unclassified non-coding RNA (233 nucleotides) under Hevea brasiliensis (rubber tree). The record is from RNAcentral. Lineage: Eukaryota; Viridiplantae; Streptophyta; Magnoliopsida; Malpighiales; Euphorbiaceae.